Molecule: ribosomal RNA, 394 nt
Filed under: uncultured bacterium
Lineage: Bacteria
Description: bacterial SSU rRNA
Rfam family: Bacterial small subunit ribosomal RNA
Source: RNAcentral
GACGAACGCUGGCGGCGUGCUUAACACAUGCAAGUCGAGCGGUAAGGCCCUUUCGGGGGUACACGAGCGGCGAACGGGUGAGUAACACGUGGGUGACCUGCCCUCAGCUCUGGGAUAAGCCUGGGAAACCGGGUCUAAUACUGGAUAUGACUCCAUGACGCAUGUUGUGGGGUGGAAAGCCUUGUGCGGCUGAGGAUGGGCCCGCGGCCUAUCAGCUUGUUGGUGGGGUGANGGCCUACCAAGGCGACGACGGGUAGCCGGCCUGAGAGGGCGACCGGCCACACUGGGACUGAGACACGGCCCAGACUCCUACGGGAGGCAGCAGUGGGGAAUCUUGCGCAAUGGGCGAAAGCCUGACGCAGCGACGCCGCGUGGGGAUGACGGCCUGGUGUAA